This 433-nucleotide ribosomal RNA is filed under the name uncultured bacterium. RNAcentral describes it as "partial 16S ribosomal RNA". It matches the Rfam family "Bacterial small subunit ribosomal RNA", at positions 29 to 507 of the family's 1533-position model. The record is from RNAcentral.
AACGAACGCUGGCGGCAUGCCUAACACAUGCAAGUCGAACGAGACCUUCGGGUCUAGUGGCGCACGGGUGCGUAACGCGUGGGAACCUGCCUUUAGGUUCGGAAUAACUCAGAGAAAUUUGAGCUAAUACCGGAUGAUGUCUUCGGACCAAAGAUUUAUCGCCUUUAGAUGGGCCCGCGUUGGAUUAGCUAGUUGGUGGGGUAAAGGCCUACCAAGGCGACGAUCCAUAGCUGGUCUGAGAGGAUGACCAGCCACACUGGGACUGAGACACGGCCCAGACUCCUACGGGAGGCAGCAGUGGGGAAUAUUGGACAAUGGGCGAAAGCCUGAUCCAGCAAUGCCGCGUGAGUGAUGAAGGCCUUAGGGUUGUAAAGCUCUUUUACCCGAGAUGAUAAUGACAGUAUCGGGAGAAUAAGCUCCGGCUAACUCCGUG